GCUGGCGGCGUGCCUAAUACAUGCAAGUCGAGCGAGUUUGCCUAGAUGAAUUUGGUGCUUGCACCAAAUGAAACUAGAUACAAGCGAGCGGCGGACGGGUGAGUAACACGUGGGUAACCUGCCCAAGAGACUGGGAUAACACCUGGAAACAGAUGCUAAUACCGGAUAACAACACUAGACGCAUGUCUAGAGUUUAAAAGAUGGUUCUGCUAUCACUCUUGGAUGGACCUGCGGUGCAUUAGCUAGUUGGUAAGGUAACGGCUUACCAAGGCAAUGAUGCAUAGCCGAGUUGAGAGACUGAUCGGCCACAUUGGGACUGAGACACGGCCCAAACUCCUACGGGAGGCAGCAGUAGGGAAUCUUCCACAAUGGACGCAAGUCUGAUGGAGCAACGCCGCGUGAGUGAAGAAGGGUUUCGGCUCGUAAAGCUCUGUUGGUAGUGAAGAAAGAUAGAGGUAGUAACUGGCCUUUAUUUGACGGUAAUUACUUAGAAAGUCACGGCUAACUACGUGCCAGCAGCCGCGGUAAUACGUAGGUGGCAAGCGUUGUCCGGAUUUAUUGGGCGUAAAGCGAGUGCAGGCGGUUCAAUAAGUCUGAUGUGAAAGCCUUCGGCUCAACCGGAGAAUUGCAUCAGAAACUGUUGAACUUGAGUGCAGAAGAGGAGAGUGGAACUCCAUGUGUAGCGGUGGAAUGCGUAGAUAUAUGGAAGACACCAGUGGCGAAG
RNAcentral lists this ribosomal RNA (724 nucleotides) under uncultured Bacilli bacterium. RNAcentral describes it as "bacterial SSU rRNA". It matches the Rfam family "Bacterial small subunit ribosomal RNA", at positions 35 to 720 of the family's 1533-position model. Lineage: Bacteria; Bacillati; Bacillota; Bacilli. The record is from RNAcentral.